AACGAACGCUGGCGGCAUGCCUAACACAUGCAAGUCGAACGGAUGGCUUCGGCCAUGAGUGGCGCACGGGUGAGUAACGCGUGGGAACCUGCCCAUCGGUGGGGGAUAACCUCGGGAAACUGAGGCUAAUACCGCAUACGCUCUGGCAACGGAGGAAAGACUUGUUGCCGAUGGAGGGGCCCGCGUCGGAUUAGGUAGUUGGUGGGGUAACGGCCUACCAAGCCUGUGAUCCGUAGCUGGUCUGAGAGGAUGAUCAGCCACACUGGGACUGAGACACGGCCCAGACUCCUACGGGAGGCUG
RNAcentral lists this ribosomal RNA (301 nucleotides) under uncultured Pseudomonadota bacterium. RNAcentral describes it as "bacterial SSU rRNA". It matches the Rfam family "Bacterial small subunit ribosomal RNA", at positions 29 to 351 of the family's 1533-position model. Lineage: Bacteria; Pseudomonadati; Pseudomonadota. The record is from RNAcentral.